Molecule: ribosomal RNA, 468 nt
Filed under: uncultured bacterium
Lineage: Bacteria
Description: partial 16S ribosomal RNA
Rfam family: Bacterial small subunit ribosomal RNA
Source: RNAcentral
GACGAACGCUGGCGGCGUGCUUAACACAUGCAAGUCGAACGGAAAGGCCCUGCUUUUGUGGGGUUCUCGAGUGGCGAACGGGUGAGUAUCACGUGAGUAACCUGCCCUUGUCUUUGGGAUAACUUCAGGAAACUGGGGCUAAUACCGGAUAUGAGCUCCUGCUGCAUGGUGGUGGUUGGAAAGUUUCGGCUGUUGGGGAUGUACUCGCGGCUUAUCAGCUUGUUGGUGGGGUAGUGGCUUACCAAGGCUUUGACGGGUAGCCGGCCUGAGAGGGUGACCGGGGACAAUGGGACUGAGAGAGGGAGCAGAAUCGUACGGGAGGCAGCAGUGGAGAAUAUUGCAGAGUGGGCGGAAGCCUGAGGCAGAAACGCCGCGUGCGGGAUGACGGCCUUCGGGUUGUAAACCGAUUUGGCAUGUGAUGAAGCGUGAGUGACGGUAAUGGGUAAAGAAGCACCGGCUAACUACGUG